UCAAAAGGGAGCCCAGUGCCGGGAGCCCCCUUCAGACUUUGGGGGCCCGUCCCCCGCCACGGCCACGCUGCACCGGGCCUCCGGUGCCCCCCACACCCCCCCCCGUACGAAAACCGAGCCAGGGCCAGCUCCGAACGGGACCCUGCUGGAGCGUGACCCCGCCACUCACAGGAGACACUGAAAUCCUGAGCAGAUUCCAGGCUGUGGAGACACAGACAGAUCUGAGAGGGGCCCGUCUCGCCGUCCCUUCCACGGGGCUCCUCCUCCCUGCAGGGGCGCGAGCUCGGCUCGUCCCGCCGCUGACACAGCUGCAGCGGGCCGCGGGGAGCGCCGUUACUGGCCGCCGCGUGGAGACAGGGGAACGGCAUUGUGGGUCGCCGCGUGGAGCGGCGCGGAGUACGCCAGUCUCGGAGGCGGCGGUGAAGUCAUCGGUCGGCCGUGAGUAUGUCACAGCUCAGCACUUUGGCUUUUUUUCCCCCCCACUGCUCUGCAAUGGUGAGAAAUUCAAAAAUAACUCAGAGAGAGACUGUCAAAUAUGUGUGUGUGUGUGUGUGUUUGCGGGUGAGGCAUCAUAUAAUGCGUAAUAAAUGGAACUUUUCUCAACUUCCUUUCGCCAACUUCCUGGUUUAGAGAAUUAAUCAGUGUGUGGUUUCUGCUGUGACUUCUUAGUCUUAUGCGGUCGACUGUUCUGUUCUGUAACUGUGUGGCUGGGGCCAGCCUGAAGUGAGAAAAUAUGGCAAUAUUUUUUCCCUCUGUGUUUCCUUUAACUUGCCUGCAUAUAGAGAGUUCCUCCGCAGUAAGAAUGCAAUCCACGUAGCGAGGAGAGCUCCCAGCAGCCUCGUCUCUGCGAGCUGCUUCCAUUCUCAGACAGCUGUUCCGUGGAGAGGCGGGAUGCUGCAUUCCACGGAGCGCUAGGCUCACAGACAGACGCGCAGACCACUUCCUGCUCGUCUCUGCUCCGUGAACUCAGCGACAGAGCAUCGCUGCUGUGACACACAUCCUGUUUCUCUCUCGCUGCCACCACACACACACACAAACACACACGCACACACACAAACACGCACGCACACACACACAAACACGCACGCACGCACACACACACACACACAAACACAACGCACACACACAGGCAAACAUGCACACACACACACACACACAAACACGCACACACGCACACACACACACACACACGCACACACACACACACAAACACGCACGCACACACACACACACACACACAAACACGCAUGCACACAGACACACACAAACACACACACACGCACACACACAGGCAAACACGCACACACACACACUCCCACACACAAAGCUGAGCAGCAGCUUCAGCAUCAUAGGCACAUUCCAUCCGAGACGUCUUUUUUUUCUUUUUUCCUUUUUGCGCGAAUUUGGUGACUCUUUGUGAGAAAAUUUCCGGAACAGUCUGCUGUGGGACGUGGAAGGACGUGUUAUGAUGAAAAGUUGGUUUGCUUUGAUCCUGCUGUCAGGAUUUUUGAUUGGAGGAUGUGGUUGGCGCACGUCUGUGUCUGAGUCUGUGGAGAUCCUAAUGCAUCUCCCACACCAGACAGGCACCCUCAGCCACUGUGCAUUCAAAAGACUCCUGUCCAACAUGAGAGAGGGGCAAAGAGAAAAGGUGAGAAUAGAGUACAGAGACUGUAAGAGAGAGGGAGGGGGCACAGAGAGAAAGAGAGAGAGAGAGAGAGUGUGCAUGCGCGUGUGUGUGUGAGAGAGAGAGAAAGAGACAGAGAUAGAGAGAGUACUCAGAUUGAUGGAGAACCAUUGAGACAGAAAGAAACAUAUUUGUGUUCAACCGGCAGAGCACCACUCAACAUUCCCAAAAGGGAAUACUGAUGCAGGGAGGUGAAUUUCAGAGCGCUUUGAAUUGUGGAGCGUGCUUACAGAGAUUAUCCACGUUCUGUUUUUUUAUAUUUAUAUUUCAGUUUUAAUGUGUGUUUUCGAUUGGCACAGACAUUUUUUGUUUCAUGAAGGAUGUUUCAUAUACUUACAGAAGUUUCUGAUGACAUGAUAGCAUGGCGUUGUUAUAGAACAUUAUGAGGAAACGAUAUUAAUAAAACUCCAGAAAUCAUCCCAUUAAUGAGCUGUCUGUCUCCACUGGUCCGGCAUUAUACUGAGGGGUGGAGCAGGAGAUGGGUGGAGGAGGGUGUGGUGUGAU
Anguilla rostrata (American eel) is the source of this 2188-nucleotide long non-coding RNA. RefSeq lists it as uncharacterized. The transcript has 3 exons. Lineage: Eukaryota; Metazoa; Chordata; Actinopteri; Anguilliformes; Anguillidae. The record is from RefSeq and is a predicted model, not a curated record.